RNAcentral lists this ribosomal RNA (395 nucleotides) under uncultured bacterium. RNAcentral's name for it is "partial 16S ribosomal RNA". It matches the Rfam family "Bacterial small subunit ribosomal RNA", at positions 523 to 918 of the family's 1533-position model. The record is from RNAcentral.
AUACGUAGGGUGCAAGCGUUAAUCGGAAUUACUGGGCGUAAAGCGUGCGCAGGCGGUUUUGUAAGACAGUGGUUAAAUCCCCGGGCUCAACCUGGGAACUGCCCUUGUGACCGCCAGGCUGGAGUGCGGCAGAGGGGGGUGGAAUUCCGCGUGUAGCGGUGAAAUGCGUAGAUAUGCGGAGGAACACCGAUGGCGAAGGCAAUCCCCUGGGCCUGCACUGACGCUCAUGCACGAAAGCGUGGGGAGCAAACAGGAUUAGAUACCCUGGUAGUCCACGCCCUAAACGAUGUCAACUGGUUGUUGGGGAUUUAUUUUCUCAGUAACGAAGCUAACGCGUGAAGUUGACCGCCUGGGGAGUACGGACGCAAGGUUAAAACUCAAAUGAAUUGGCGGGG